AUGUGUGUGUGUGUGUGUGUGUGUGUGUGUGUGUGUGUGUCUGUGUGUGUAUACUUACAGUCAGACCCUGAUCCCCCAACAGCUACAGCAUUCCUUUCUGCGACGUUUGAAACGUUCGCGACGUAUCAGACGUCUGCAACGUCUGCUAGGUCUGCUACGUUUGAUACAUCCUCUAAGUAUGCUACGUCUGCUACGUCUGCUGCGUCUGCUAGGUCUGCUACGUCUGCUACGUCUGCUAGGUCUGCUACGUCUGCUAGGUCUGCUACGUCUGCAAUCUCUGCCAUUCCUGAAACGUCGGCAACUUCUGCUAAAUUUGAGCCAUAUGCAACGUCUGCGAUGUGCGUACUCCCUCCUCCGCUUUUCCCUCCUAAGUCUGUUACGCCUGCGUUGCAUCUUCCUCCGCCUUGCUUCACGUCUUCUACGUCUGUAAUAGGCCUUCUUCCAGCGCGACAUGGGCCUCUUGACACACCGGUAUUUACAGGUAUAUGGACCCUUGGGUUUGUGUUUGAAGAUGGUACACUUAUCUUGCCUCAUGCUACAUCUGGAAACAGAGAGGAGAUGUGAUCAGAACCAGAACCAGAGGUGGACCGCACACUGCCACGCUGCUCAUCUCUACAUUUGUCCCAUAAUAACCAUGUUAUUGUUGCCCUCAAGCGGACGGAACGUGAAUCAUGUAGAUGUUGUUUUACCUUUUAAGUAUGGCAGCCUCGGUUGUAAAGAAACAACGAGCAGUGUUACGUCCGAUGGUCACCCCAUAACACGGCUUUCUGUCCCUGUAACAGUUCACCUUUACCACCUGGCCACGACCUGGAGGAGAGAGAAGUGUCACACAGUGAAGACUUCGUGUCAUUCGGUCACGAGCUGACAAACAGACUGAACGUAGUCGACGAGGACAGACAGAAAGACGAGUGUGUGUUGACUCACCGCAGGCCAACAGUGUGUACCACUUCCGGACUUUGAUUUGCACUCCCUCUGUGAAGACACACAGGUGAGACUGUGACAUCAUCAUAUCAUCAUUUACAUUUGAUAUUUAUUACCAUUACACAUAUUUCUGUAUUAACACUCAUAAACUGAUCAUAAAAGCUGUAAAAGCACCAGAACAGUAAAUAAUAAUGAUGAUCGAGCAGGAUAAAAACUCACCAGCAUCUCCAGAGAAACACCAAGCUGCAGCCAGCACUGUAACACAACACAGUAACACAACACUGUAACACAACACAGUAACACAACACUGUAACACAACACUGUAACACAACACAGUAGCACAUCAGAGGUCUUUAUUGUGACUCAAAGCUGAGGUGAAGGUGUGAACGUGUCUGGACCCUCUGAGGGUUCAGAACAUCAUCACCUGGGAUCAGUUCACCUUCAGCACCAACAUCAUCAUUAGAAAUGACAACAUACGUGUAGGAAGAAAGUCAGUGACACAUGUGGAGUCACAGAGAGUAACUAAGUACAUGUACUCAGUCAGUCAGUGACACAUGUGGAGUCACAGAGAGUAACUAAGUACAUGUACUCAGUCAGUCAGUGAGUACUGGACUGUAUAAAUGUACUCCACUACAUCUGAGAGGAUACUCACGGCCGAGGACGAUGAGGCUGAGUCGGACCAUGUUGGCUUCUCUCAGCUUCUCUUCUGUCUUCACCUGAAGACCGUCUGAUGCUGAGAGCGUCUCUACGACAGGUAUUUAUGCUUCUCUCCUCGCAGCACACCUGUUGACACCUGUCCGCCGCCGGCGAAGGCAAACAGGACCUGGUGAUUUGACCAACAUGCAAAUCCCCUUUAGAGCUGCAGGGCAGAAGC
This 1795-nucleotide long non-coding RNA is filed under the name Sparus aurata (gilthead seabream). RNAcentral's name for it is "lncRNA (ENSSAUG00010006826.1)". Lineage: Eukaryota; Metazoa; Chordata; Actinopteri; Spariformes; Sparidae. The record is from RNAcentral.